CCCGACUGCUAUCAGAGUGGGAUUAAGCCAUGCGAGUUAACGUAGCAAUACGUGGCAUACGGCUCAGUAACACGUAGUCAACAUGCCCAGGGGACGUGGAUAACCUCGGGAAACUGAGGCUAAACCGCGAUAGGCCAAGAUUUCUGGAAUGGAUCAUGGCUUAAAUCUAUAUGGCCCCUGGAUUGGACUGCGGCCGAUCAGGCUGUUGGUGAGGUAAUGGCCCACCAAACCUGUAACCGGUACGGGCUCUGAGAGGAGGAGCCCGGAGAUGGGCACUUAGACAAGGGCCCAGGCCCUAUGGGGCGCAGCAGGCGCGAAACCUCUGCAAUAAGCGAAAGCUUGACAGGGUUACUCUGAGUGAUUCCCGCUAAGGGAAUCUUUUGGCAUCUCUAAAAACGAUGCAGAAUAAGGGGUGGGCAAGUCUGGUGUCAGCCGCCGCGGUAAUACCAGCACCCCGAGUGGUCGGGACGAUUAUUGGGCCUAAAGCAUCCGUAGCCGGUCUUGCAAGUCUUCCGUUAAAUCCACCUGCUUAACAGAUGGGCUGCGGAAGAUACUACAAGACUAGGAGGCGGGAGAGGCAAGCGGUACUCAGUGGGUAGGGGUAAAAUCCUCUGAUCCAUUGAAGACCACCAGUGGCGAAGGCGGCUUGCCAGAACGCGCUCGACGGUGAGGGAUGAAAGCUGGGGGAGCAAACCGGAUUAGAUACCCGGGUAGUCCCAGCUGUAAACGAUGCAGACUCGGUGAUGAAUUGGCUUCAUGCCAAUUCAGUGCCGCAGGGAAGCCGUUAAGUUUGCCGCCUGGGGAGUACGGUCGCAAGACUGAAACUUAAAGGAAUUGGCCGGGGGAGCACCCACAAGGGGUGAAGCCUGCGGUUC
Molecule: ribosomal RNA, 875 nt
Filed under: uncultured archaeon
Lineage: Archaea
Description: bacterial SSU rRNA
Rfam family: Archaeal small subunit ribosomal RNA
Source: RNAcentral